ACAGAUGAGAAAACUGAAACAUUGAGAAGUCAAGUAACUUGCUCAAGAUUAUAUAGCUAGUGCAUAGAGGGGCAAAGAUUUGAACCAGAUUGCCUGGUUCCACAUGCACUUUAACCUGCUUUAUUUAGGCUUUUGAAAGCAACCUAAAUAGCUAACAUUGACUAAAUAAGUGCAGUAUACCUGGUCUGUGUGACAUUUUGCAGGUAUUAAAAAGUGAACAUUCUGAACCCUUUUAGCAAUAUGGCAAAUACUUCUGAUGUGAUGUAUGCAUAUAAAUAUGAUCGAAAGCAAAUAUCCCAAAAGGUUGAUGGCAGUUAUGUCAGGUUAGUAGCACAAUAGUUUCUUUUCUCAUUUUCUCACAUUUUUAGUAAUGUGUGUUGCCUAUAUUAAAAAACAAAUAUUAAAAAGUAGUAGCAUGUAUUAGAUCAGAGCAUGGGCUCAGACUGCCUGUGUCAUCUCUUAUUAGAUGUAUGACCAGGGACAAGUUAUUGACCUUUUGUUUCUAAGUCUCUAAGUUUAUCCUGUAAAAUGAAGAUAAUUGUAGUAACUACCUAAUAACAUGAUUGUAAGGAUUAAAUUAUUUAGAACACUAUUUGUUACUUGGAAAAUAUGCAAUCAUAAGCUAUUUUGUUGUUAUUGUUAUUUUACUACCAAAGCUUAUUGUUUCAGAGCCCCUAGGUGACCAGGCAAAAUGGCAGUUCCUUCCAGCUGGUCCUCAGAUGGGCACAUCUAUUAGCCUCUGCUCUUGUAAGAAGUUAGCUGCAGAACCCACAUGUGAAUCCUUGUAGGACUCUGGAGAAGAUCAAAUGGGAGCUUAGAUGUGGAAGCUCUUUGGAAACCAAGAAACACUCUGAAAAUGAAAAGGGUGGAAGAGUAAACUGUUCCUGUUUCUCCAUCUUGACAGGAAGCAGAAGUUCUCCUUAGCUGAUUUUUCUUCUUGCCUUAUACUGGGUUCUUUAACACCAGAACAAAAAUAAAUAAAUAAAAGAAUCUUCCAGAAAUUCAUGAAGAGACUUCAGGUCAGGAAAGCCUGAACUUUCUCAUCCAACACCCGUUCAAGUCGGAGGAUGCUGAUUAAUUCAUGAUGGAAAGGUAUCAAUUUCACAGCCCAGACCUCUACAUUCUUGAAAUGCUCUUCUCAUGGGAGACAUUAAAUAAGCUUUGAAUUAACUGGACUUAUCUUCCUCAGUUCUCUGUGAUGAACUUUUGUAGAGCCAUACGAAAGGAGGUUUUUAGCUCUCACCUGUGGUCUUUCUUCAUCAUGCACCUCCUAGAUUCAAAAGUUCAGCAGGGACAUGUCAAGCUAUAUAAAUAAAAACAAACUAAGAAAAAAUGUAACAUUCCAUACCUUAAAACGCAACCUUAAUAACGUGAAAGACCCUGAAGGACUUGAGACGUGAAGAUUUUCUACCACGGUCUUUGCCUGUAUUAUUUCUGACAGCUGUUCCUUUCUACUCCCUCUUGCACACAUCUUUAGUUACUCCCUGUUCUCCAUCCCUCUGAUAAAAUCUAGAGUUCCCCCCUCAAAUUAGAAAAUUAAAAAAAAUUAAAAAUCUAAAAUUAAAAUUUAAAAAAUUUUUAAAAAUCUAGAGUUUAAAAAAAAUGUUCUAUCUCAGGCUUGUGAACCAUAUUGUUAGUUCACAAUUAAGAAUGAUGUACAUCUAUUGGACAAGUUUUAAUUAAUUCUUUCCCUUGGCUGAUUAGUAAAUUUCUGCAGUGAGUACAAAUGUU
RNAcentral lists this long non-coding RNA (1731 nucleotides) under Homo sapiens (human). Its description in RNAcentral is "PREDICTED lncRNA (TCONS_00182893)". The record is from RNAcentral. Lineage: Eukaryota; Metazoa; Chordata; Mammalia; Primates; Hominidae.